GGACAGGGAGGGAGACACCGGCUUACGACGUCAAAGGAGUACAGACACACACACACAGGGAGAGGGAGAGGACAGCCAGCCAGCCAGACCGCCAAUUCCCCACGGUCUACUGAAGGAAGCCUAAAUAUUCAUCUAUCAUCAACACUCUCCGCUUAGCCAAGCCAGUAAGAGAUUUGUUUAUUUUUAUAUUAGGGAGGAGAGGAGGAAAGAGAGAAAAAAAAAAAAUACGGAGCAUCUGUCAGGAGAGGGGAGGGAAAAAAACAACAAGCAGAUCUAGAAAAGCACGCUCAUGCCGAAUAAAGGACCGUCGCUGGAUGUUACUAGUGUUGUUUUAGGGGGGGAGCAGGCCUAACUUGUUACAGGAUUCAAAGACGCUCUGACACAAAUGAACUAACUGAGGUUUAAUAACUAAAUAACAGCGGGAGGAAGAAGAAGAAGAAGAAGGAAUCUACUGAUCGCUCCGAUUCUUUGCCACAAAAAAGCACCACAGCCUUCUCAAUGAAGGAGCCUGACGCAAUCAAGCUCUUCAUCGGGCAGAUACCCCGAAACCUGGAGGAGAAGGACCUGAAGCCCAUCUUCGAGCAGUUUGGCAAGAUCUAUGAGUUGACGGUGAUAAAGGACAAAUAUACGGGGAUGCACAAAGGAUGUGCCUUCCUGACAUACUGCGCACGUGAGUCUGCCCUCAAAGCCCAGAAUGCACUGCACGAGCAGAAGACGCUACCGGGGAUGAACCGUCCGAUCCAGGUGAAGCCGGCCGACAGCGAGAGCAGAGGGGAAGACAGGAAGCUGUUUGUGGGCAUGCUGGGAAAGCAGCAGACGGACACCGAUGUGAGGAAAAUGUUUGAGCCGUUUGGGAGCAUAGAGGAGUGCACGGUGCUCCGCGGGCCCGACGGCACCAGCAAAGGGUGUGCAUUUGUAAAGUACCAGAGCAACGCAGAGGCCCAGGCCGCCAUCAACGCACUGCAUGGUAGUCGCACUUUACCGGGCGCCUCGUCCAGCCUGGUGGUGAAGUUUGCCGAUUCGGAGAAGGAGCGAGGGCUCAGGCGGAUGCAGCAGGUGGCCUCUCAGCUGGGAGUCAUCAGUCCCAUGACCCUGCACCUCGGGGCCUACAACGCCUACACACAGGCCCUGAUGCAGCAGCAGGCCUUGGUGGCGCAGUCAGCCUACCUCUCUCCUGUUGCCACGGUGGCGGCGGUCCAGAUGCAGCAGCUCGCCGCUCUCAACCCCAGCAGCAUCAUUGCCACGCCGAUUGCAUCCAUCACCCCGUCCUCAGGUACCAGCACUCCACCCUCCAUCGCGGCCACACCUGUUCCCGCUCUGCCUCCGCCCAUCGCGGUGAACAGCUACCCCUCUGUGCAAGCCCCACCCAACGGCCAGUCGGCCACGGAAACCCUGUACACUAAUGGGGUUCAUGCCUAUCAAGCUCAGAGUCCUGUCCUGGACCCCCUGCAGCAGGCUUACACAGGCAUGCAGCACUACACAGCCACCUACCCCGCUGCCUACAGCCUGGUGGGACAGCCUUUCCCCCACCAGCACACGCUGGUGGCCCAGCAGCCGCAGCAGCCGCAGCAGCUGCAGCAAAGAGAAGGUCCCGAGGGCUGUAACAUCUUCAUCUACCACCUGCCGCAGGAGUUCACCGACUCCGAGAUACUGCAGAUGUUCCUCCCCUUUGGAAAUGUCAUCUCCGCGAAGGUCUUUGUUGACCGCGCCACCAACCAGAGCAAAUGCUUCGGUUUUGUGAGCUUCGACAACCCAUCCAGCGCCCAGACUGCCAUCCAGGCCAUGAACGGCUUCCAAAUCGGCAUGAAGAGACUGAAGGUGCAGCUGAAGAGGCCCAAGGACGCGAACAGGCCUUACUGAAGGAGACCUGUCCCGUCCAUACAUAUAUCGUGGAGACGUGCGUCGCUAUGGCUACGGUUGCCUAGCAACCGCUAAAACCUCCCCCCUUCCUUCUCACUGCGUUGAAAACCUAAGAGUUCAAUCAAGAAAACCACUUGGGGGAUGUCCCAGCCUUUUUUGGUUGUUUGACCAACCGUAUAGCACAGGAGCGACACUUCACAAAAAGCAGUAUCACGUGACAUGCGCUUACAGAAAAA
Molecule: RNA transcript, 2096 nt
Organism: Mugil cephalus (flathead mullet)
Lineage: Eukaryota; Metazoa; Chordata; Actinopteri; Mugiliformes; Mugilidae
Gene: celf3a
Gene name: cugbp, Elav-like family member 3a
Exons: 15
Source: RefSeq, a predicted model, not a curated record